RNAcentral lists this ribosomal RNA (245 nucleotides) under uncultured bacterium. RNAcentral's name for it is "partial 16S ribosomal RNA". It matches the Rfam family "Bacterial small subunit ribosomal RNA", at positions 524 to 768 of the family's 1533-position model. The record is from RNAcentral.
GACGAGCCGUGCAAACGUUGUUCGGAAUCACUGGGCUUGAAGGGCGCGUAGGCGGGCAGCCAAGUCCGGGGUGAAAUCUUUCGGCUCAACCGGAAAAUUGCCUUGGAUACUGGCUGUCUUGAGCGAGGUAGGGGCAUGUGGAACUUCCGGUGGAGCGGUGAAAUGCGUUGAUAUCGGAAGGAACGCCGGUGGCGAAAGCGACGUGCUGGACCUCUUCUGACGCUGAGGCGCGAAAGCUAGGGGAG